This 299-nucleotide ribosomal RNA is filed under the name uncultured bacterium. RNAcentral describes it as "partial 16S ribosomal RNA". It matches the Rfam family "Bacterial small subunit ribosomal RNA", at positions 475 to 776 of the family's 1533-position model. The record is from RNAcentral.
CUAUGCGCCUUGCCAGCCCGCUCAGGUGUGCCAGCCGCCGCGGUAAUACGUAGGUGGCAAGCGUUGUCCGGAUUUACUGGGUGUAAAGGGCGUGUAGCCGGGCCGGCAAGUCAGAUGUGAAAUCCCAAGGCUCAACCUUGGAACUGCAUUUGAAACUGUUGGUCUUGAGUAUCGGAGAGGCAGGCGGAAUUCCUAGUGUAGCGGUGAAAUGCGUAGAUAUUAGGAGGAACACCAGUGGCGAAGGCGGCCUGCUGGACGAUGACUGACGCUGAGGCUCGAAAGCGUGGGGAGCAAACAGG